GGAGGGGUGGCAGAGCGGUCGAAUGCGUCGGUCUUGAAAACCGAAGUGCCCUCCGGGGCACCGGGGGUUCGAAUCCCUCCCCCUCCG
This 87-nucleotide transfer RNA is filed under the name Bacteroidota bacterium. RNAcentral's name for it is "Bacteroidetes bacterium (marine metagenome) tRNA-Ser". It matches the Rfam family "tRNA". Rfam says of the family: Transfer RNA (tRNA) molecules are approximately 80 nucleotides in length. Their secondary structure includes four short double-helical elements and three loops (D, anti-codon, and T loops). The record is from RNAcentral. RNAcentral also lists the same sequence under 1 other name. Lineage: Bacteria; Pseudomonadati; Bacteroidota.